GAUGAACGCUGGCGGCGUGCCUAAUACAUGCAAGUCGAGCGAAUGGAUUAAGAGCUUGCUCUUAUGAAGUUAGCGGCGGACGGGUGAGUAACACGUGGGUAACCUGCCCAUAAGACUGGGAUAACUCCGGGAAACCGGGGCUAAUACCGGAUAACAUUUUGAACCGCAUGGUUCGAAAUUGAAAGGCGGCUUCGGCUGUCACUUAUGGAUGGACCCGCGUCGCAUUAGCUAGUUGGUGAGGUAACGGCUCACCAAGGCAACGACGCGUAGCCGCCGUGAGAGGGUGAUCGGCCACACUGGGACUGAGACACGGCCCAGACUCCGACGGGAGGCAGCAGUGGGGAAUAUUGCACAAUGGGAGCAAGCCUGAUGCAGCAACGCCGCGUGAGGGAUGACGGCCUUCGGGUUGUAAACCUCUUUUAGUAGGGAAGAACAAGUGCUAGUUGAAUAAGCUGGCACCUUGACGGUACCUAACCAGAAAGCCACGGCUAACUACGUGCCAGCCGCCGCCGUAA
This 515-nucleotide ribosomal RNA is filed under the name uncultured bacterium. Its description in RNAcentral is "partial 16S ribosomal RNA". It matches the Rfam family "Bacterial small subunit ribosomal RNA", at positions 28 to 523 of the family's 1533-position model. The record is from RNAcentral.